GCGUCAUUAGUUCAACUGGAUAGAGCAUCGAGCUUCUAACUCGACUGUUGUAGGUUCGAGUCCUACAUGACGCG
Molecule: transfer RNA, 74 nt
Filed under: Vibrio phage 1.240.O._10N.261.52.F8
Lineage: Duplodnaviria; Heunggongvirae; Uroviricota; Caudoviricetes
Also listed under: 1 other name
Description: tRNA-Arg
Rfam family: tRNA
About the family: Transfer RNA (tRNA) molecules are approximately 80 nucleotides in length. Their secondary structure includes four short double-helical elements and three loops (D, anti-codon, and T loops).
Source: RNAcentral